CCUACGGGCGGCUGCAGUGGGGAAUAUUGCACAAUGGGCGCAAGCCUGAUGCAGCCAUGCCGCGUGUGUGAAGAAGGCCUUCGGGUUGUAAAGCACUUUCAGCGGGGAAGAAGGCGGUGAGGUUAAUAACCUCAUCGAUUGACGUUACCCGCAGAAGAAGCACCGGCUAACUCCGUGCCAGCAGCCGCGGUAAUACGGAGGGUGCAAGCGUUAAUCGGAAUUACUGGGCGUAAAGCGCACGCAGGCGGUCUGUCAAGUCGGAUGUGAAAUCCCCGGGCUCAACCUGGGAACUGCAUUCGAAACUGGCAGGCUAGAGUCUUGUAGAGGGGGGUAGAAUUCCAGGUGUAGCGGUGAAAUGCGUAGAGAUCUGGAGGAAUACCGGUGGCGAAGGCGGCCCCCUGGACAAAGACUGACGCUCAGGUGCGAAAGCGUGGGGAGCAAACAGGAUUAGAUACCCGUGUAGUC
This 465-nucleotide ribosomal RNA is filed under the name uncultured Klebsiella sp. RNAcentral's name for it is "bacterial SSU rRNA". It matches the Rfam family "Bacterial small subunit ribosomal RNA", at positions 338 to 795 of the family's 1533-position model. Lineage: Bacteria; Pseudomonadati; Pseudomonadota; Gammaproteobacteria; Enterobacterales; Enterobacteriaceae. The record is from RNAcentral.